AACGUAGGAGGCAAGCGUUAUCCGGAGUUACUGGGCGUAAAGCGCAUGUAGGCGGUUGGGCAAGUGGCGUGUGAAAGCUCCCGGCUAAACUGGGAGAGGACACGUCAGACUGCCCGGCUAGAGGUCGGUAGAGGGGCGCAGAAUUCGGGGUGUAGCGGUGAAAUGUGUAGAGAUCCCGAGGAAUACCAGUGGUGAAGACGGCGCCCUGGGCCGAACCUGACGCUGAGAUGCGAAAGCGUGGGGAGCGAACGGG
This 253-nucleotide ribosomal RNA is filed under the name uncultured bacterium. RNAcentral's name for it is "partial 16S ribosomal RNA". It matches the Rfam family "Bacterial small subunit ribosomal RNA", at positions 524 to 776 of the family's 1533-position model. The record is from RNAcentral.